UACGUAGGGUGCAGGCGUUAAUCGGAAUCACUGGGCGUAAAGGGCGCGUAGGCGGGAUGGCAAGUCAGUCGUGAAAUCUCUCGGCUCAACCGAGAAACGUCGGCUGAUACUGCCGUUCUUGAGGGAUGCAGAGGAGACUGGAAUUCCCGGUGUAGCGGUGAAAUGUGUAGAGAUCGGGAGGAACACCGGUGGCGAAGGCGGGUCUCUGGGCAUUUCCUGACGCUGAGGCGCGAAAGCGUGGGGAGCAAACGGG
RNAcentral lists this ribosomal RNA (253 nucleotides) under uncultured bacterium. Its description in RNAcentral is "partial 16S ribosomal RNA". It matches the Rfam family "Bacterial small subunit ribosomal RNA", at positions 524 to 776 of the family's 1533-position model. The record is from RNAcentral.